Molecule: long non-coding RNA, 272 nt
Organism: Photinus pyralis (common eastern firefly)
Lineage: Eukaryota; Metazoa; Arthropoda; Insecta; Coleoptera; Lampyridae
Exons: 3
Source: RefSeq, a predicted model, not a curated record
AUGACGAGGUGUCUGAGCAAAAGUAUUCAGUUGAUUAUUAGCAACAAAAGUCAACAUGAACGCUGCAUUUUUGAUCACUUUGGUAUUGGCUCUCUUCGCUUUAGCCGCGGCUAAUCCAUCGGCAAAUCCGAACCCAAUGCCCAAACCAAGACCUCAAUACUGGAAUUACGGUUACGGAAUUGGAAUGCCUUACUAUGGAUUAGGGUAUGGAUAUUACUUCUAAGCGAAAAUAUUACCUCGUUUUUCACCGGAAAUAAACUUUGUUUUCUAAU